AUGGGGCGAACCACAGUUAAUCCUAUUUGGAGUAAGAUAUGGAAAUUAGCAUGUCCGGCAAAAGUUAAAAUAUUCUUAUGGCGAAUGCUACAUGGUACUAUCCCGUGCAGAGUUACGCUAGCUAAUAGACAUAUGAAGGUUUCACCCAUCUGCCCAAUUUGCUCUGAGGGCUUAGAAGAUACAAAACAUAUGUUGUUCCGGUGUACUAAAGCAAAGGAGGUUUGGAAAAGACUGGGACUCGAUGAUAUCAUUGAAAAAGCUUGCGAGAUUGAUCGUGCAGGAGGGGCGGUGCUGGAGUACCUACUACUCCUACCAGAUCAAGAUUUGUGGAUAUUGGGUUGCCACAAUGUGCGUGAGAUGAUUGCUAUCUAAGCAUGGUACCUAUGGUGGGAAAGACGAAAGUUGGUUCACAAUGAGAAAAUACAAAAUGUAACGCAGAUUUCAAUGGGAAUCCUUGCCCUUACCACAAAUUUUGUUAAUGCAUUAUCCCCCCAAGGCGUCUGUGAAGAAGGAGAGCUGGUCUUGCCCUCCAAGAGGUUUUGUUAA
Molecule: ribosomal RNA, 546 nt
Filed under: Triticum aestivum (bread wheat)
Lineage: Eukaryota; Viridiplantae; Streptophyta; Magnoliopsida; Poales; Poaceae
Description: partial small subunit ribosomal RNA
Source: RNAcentral